This 542-nucleotide ribosomal RNA is filed under the name Aspergillus clavatus. RNAcentral describes it as "eukaryotic LSU rRNA". It matches the Rfam family "Eukaryotic large subunit ribosomal RNA", at positions 74 to 631 of the family's 3401-position model. Lineage: Eukaryota; Fungi; Ascomycota; Eurotiomycetes; Eurotiales; Aspergillaceae. The record is from RNAcentral.
AUUGCCUCAGUAACGGCGAGUGAAGCGGCAAGAGCUCAAAUUUGAAAGCUGGCUCCUUCGGGGUCCGCAUUGUAAUUUGCAGAGGAUGCUUCGGGCAUGGCCCCCGUCUAAGUGCCCUGGAAGGGGCCGUCAUAGAGGGUGAGAAUCCCGUCUGGGACGGGGUGUCCGUGUCCGUGUGAAGCUCCUUCGACGAGUCGAGUUGUUUGGGAAUGCAGCUCUAAAUGGGUGGUAAAUUUCAUCUAAAGCUAAAUACUGGCCGGAGACCGAUAGCGCACAAGUAGAGUGAUCGAAAGAUGAAAAGCACUUUGAAAAGAGAGUUAAACAGCACGUGAAAUUGUUGAAAGGGAAGCGUUUGCGACCAGACUCGCUCGCGGGGUUCAGCCGGCAUUCGUGCCGGUGUACUUCCCCGUGGGCGGGCCAGCGUCGGUUUGGGCGGCCGGUCAAAGGCCUCCGGAAUGUAUCACCUCUCGGGGUGUCUUAUAGCCGGGGGUGCAAUGCGGCCUGCCUGGACCGAGGAACGCGCUUCGGCUCGGACGCUGGCG